UCAGUGGAUCUAAAGAAGUCGACAGGGUUUAGCGAUGUGUUUUGCAUGGUGAUGGGGAAGACUUGUUUGGGUUUGGGUUUGGGUUUCCCUGUGUUCUCCACUCCCAGAGCCUGCACUGUACUACCCAUGUGUGUGGGAUUCUGCUGACACCCAUGGGCUCAAAGCCUUUGCCAGGUAACAACAGUGCUGCGUGGAGGCUUGUGGGGCUGAGCUGUGGGGGCUGGCUCCACACCUGGCUUUGUCCCCGGAAAUGAUCACUAUCAUACAUCAUAAAUGCAGAAGGAAGAGUGCAUGUCCAGAGGUCGUGCUGUCCCAAUCUGUUCCUGUGCUGGAGGGUAGGGGGCACAGAGACCGACCUUGGCCAGACUCAGAUCUUAGACAACUGUGCAAUACCUGGCUCAGGCUCUCCUCACUUGCCCGCCUCCCAGUUUGAGAAGCAGGAGGCAAGGAGAGUCCAACUGAAGGACAGCAUCUGAACCCCAGAGUGACCGGAUCAGAGGAGCAGAGAGCUGAAUAAUGCUCAGCAGUUCUGACCCAGACACUCUCUUCCUGAAGGGCUCCCCUUGGGUGGCCACUGGGACCUCACUCUUGCUUUUUGUGGUGCUUCUGCUGGUGGGCACACUUGGGUUCACCUGGAAACUUUACCAGGAGAGAGAGCGAGAUCGGCGGGCCAAAGGCCGCUAUCAGGACCAGUGACCUCACAAGACUUCUUUGUUCCUCUCCAGGCUGAAGAAAAGCCAGAAGGUGAAAGGCGAGCCAACUGGAAUUGUUCUGAAGACUUCACCUCCUUCACCUAACAGGUGGCUUUGUCUGGUUUCCUUCUCCUGAGGCCUUGCUCACUCUUGCCCCUUGUGUCA
Long non-coding RNA from Marmota flaviventris (yellow-bellied marmot), 857 nucleotides. RefSeq lists it as uncharacterized. Lineage: Eukaryota; Metazoa; Chordata; Mammalia; Rodentia; Sciuridae. The record is from RefSeq and is a predicted model, not a curated record.